RNAcentral lists this non-coding RNA (30 nucleotides) under Homo sapiens (human). The record is from RNAcentral. Lineage: Eukaryota; Metazoa; Chordata; Mammalia; Primates; Hominidae.
UACACUUCCGCUUCUUCGCUAGUUGGCUGC